Molecule: long non-coding RNA, 731 nt
Filed under: Triticum aestivum (bread wheat)
Lineage: Eukaryota; Viridiplantae; Streptophyta; Magnoliopsida; Poales; Poaceae
Description: long non-coding RNA (TAES_LNC028400)
Source: RNAcentral
ACUAGAAUUGUGAAGCCAACGUCAAGUGUAGUAGACACCUUUCUCAAAUCAUAAGGGAACACAUAAACCACUAUCCAUUGGCAAUGCAUUCCACCACUUUCAAAUCUAUCUUGGCAUUUAAAAGCUAACAGUACAAUAAUAUUAUGCUCUUACACACCUUUUUAUACAAAAUAUCAUGAAUGCUUUCUCAGCAGCACUCAUGACAGUACACAUAAAAUCUACUAUGAAGGGCAUAACUAGAGUUGCAACUCAGAUGUGAUUUAUAGCCCAAGGUAGCAGGUACACAUAUUGCACCAACAUAUUCAACUUUGUGUUUAAGUUGUAGCAGAAGUCUCCAACAUUGGAUAGCACAUGAACAAAAGGCAUUUCUCAUUCAUGAUUUUAGCACCAAAUGUUAAUAUCCGCUCCCAUGGGCUGGGUGUGCUACAAAAUAUGAAACAAAUUCUAGUCAAAUAUUUGCAAAAACAAUCAACAUGCUUUAUUCGAAAGGGAGCAAGAUAUAAAAAACCAUUUAGCUGCCAUGGCCAACCUGAUUAAUAGAACAAUCUACAGAUCUUAGACCUUUCUGGACACUACUUCCUCUGCAAAGAAGGAAAAACCCUUAGCUGCAAUCUACGAAAACCUAAUAAAAUAUAUAUUACUUACAAUUUAAUUUACCUUUUCCUUUUGUUCAUGGCCUCCUCCGAACCCCUCUUCAAUCUCUUACCACUGCCCUUUGUGUUUGCAUCCUC